This 207-nucleotide ribosomal RNA is filed under the name uncultured bacterium. Its description in RNAcentral is "partial 16S ribosomal RNA". It matches the Rfam family "Bacterial small subunit ribosomal RNA", at positions 568 to 774 of the family's 1533-position model. The record is from RNAcentral.
AGCGCAGACGGUUGAUUAAGUCUGAUGUGAAAGCCCGGAGCUCAACUCCGGAAUGGCAUUGGAAACUGGUUAACUUGAGUGCAGUAGAGGUAAGUGGAACUCCAUGUGUAGCGGUGGAAUGCGUAGAUAUAUGGAAGAACACCAGUGGCGAAGGCGGCUUACUGGACUGUAACUGACGUUGGGGCUCGAAAGUGUGGGUAGCAAACA